AUUUAAUCUACAAUUGUCAAAGUAAAUAUUACCAAGUCUACAAGAUUCUAAUCAUCUGCAAGAAGUUCUUAAUAAACCGAACAUAUUUUUGUAUCUUUUAAUAAUGUAAAUUUAAUGUUGCUGAUUUCAGUAAUUAAGUUAAAAAGUUCAAGCGAUUGUCAGAUAUUAUUUAAUAUCUUUCAUUUGAAGAGUUCAAGGAUUCUGAUGUAAUAUUUUGACGAAUUAUCGACGCAGGAUCAAGAAUGGAAACCGAUGGUAGCACACUCCAUUUUUUGGUCACUCAUAAAGAUCCAAGACCCGAAAUAUGGAUAAUUUGAAAGUCAGGUUGAAAAAUUAUGAACCGAUGUUAGAUACUAUCGACAUUUUCAAUUUUUAAUUUACGGCUUAAUGUUGAUGUAAGUUAUCUAAAAAUUACCGUUUUUAAUCAAAAUGUAAUUUGUCAAUUAAGGUUUUCAAUCGACCACUUCAUGUCCAGUAAAGUCAAAUUCCUUGGUGUCCAACUCUAUUGUAUUUUCACCUUCAUAUUACCAAAAUAACAUGCUUUCAGUUGCUCCAUUGAUAAACCGGUUUUUUUGUUUACAUUUUUCCUCAUGGUCAACUUGAUUUACCAACCCGGUCUAACCCACCUCAAGUCACUUGGCCGAGUCAGUUAUUUCCAUUAUUAGAUCGGAAUUUACAACUUGGUCUCACUUAUCCUCUGGAAGAUAGGAUUGAUCCUGUCAUUGGCAAGUUUCAUUAAACAAUUAAUCGUUUAACCUUUAUAUAUUAGUUAAUAAUAAAUUAUGGUAGCUUCUCCGAGAAACCAGAGACACAAAUAGUUCAUUGUUCAUGGCGACUUUGUAACCUUUCAUAACAAUUUACACCAAAGUGAAUAAUAUGUGAUUUUGAUGUGUGAGUUACUAAAUGAAAUGAUUAAAUAAUAAAUCGGAAAGCAACAGGCAUGUAUGUUGUCAUGGUGUGAUAAAGUGUUCACUGUUUUGUUGCAAUGUUAAUGAAAUAUUGAACUAAUCAAAGGAAUUGAAUAUUUAUAUUAAUGAAUAGGCUCAUAGGAAGUAUUAAAAAAACAAAAUGUUUAAUGAAUAAACAAUUUCUGAACUAAUAAUUAAGAUUACAAUUGUUGAAUACUAUUGUUAUUCACGGUAUGGUAAAUUAAAUUAAAGGUGAGAUCAAAAUGAUUAA
Molecule: long non-coding RNA, 1179 nt
Organism: Tetranychus urticae (two-spotted spider mite)
Lineage: Eukaryota; Metazoa; Arthropoda; Arachnida; Trombidiformes; Tetranychidae
Source: RefSeq, a predicted model, not a curated record